Molecule: long non-coding RNA, 266 nt
Organism: Salarias fasciatus (jewelled blenny)
Lineage: Eukaryota; Metazoa; Chordata; Actinopteri; Blenniiformes; Blenniidae
Exons: 2
Source: RefSeq, a predicted model, not a curated record
GAGUGUGAAGUGAUUACAAUCAGACCGUACAGCGCCGAUAAGCUGGUAACCGUUGGAUAUGAGUUACAGGGGGGGGGGGGGGGGGGGGCUGGAAUAUACUGUAAGUAUGUAGGCCACAAUUUGGCAACAAACAAAGAUACAUAUUCAAGAAAAGGCUGUACAAACAUCAGACAAAAACAAAAACACACUCGAUUUAAAACUUUAGUACUAAAGCUACAGAGUUGAAAAUAUGUUUAUUGUCAUUUUUUUUCUUCUUUUUUUUUUUU